RNAcentral lists this ribosomal RNA (490 nucleotides) under uncultured bacterium. RNAcentral's name for it is "partial 16S ribosomal RNA". It matches the Rfam family "Bacterial small subunit ribosomal RNA", at positions 30 to 507 of the family's 1533-position model. The record is from RNAcentral.
AUUGAACGCUGGCGGCAGGCCUAACACAUGCAAGUCGAACGGUAACAGGAAACAGCUUGCUGUUUCGCUGACGAGUGGCGGACGGGUGAGUAAUGUCUGGGAAACUGCCUGAUGGAGGGGGAUAACUACUGGAAACGGUAGCUAAUACCGCAUAACGUCGCAAGACCAAAGAGGGGGACCUUCGGGCCUCUUGCCAUCGGAUGUGCCCAGAUGGGAUUAGCUAGUAGGUGGGGUAACGGCUCACCUAGGCGACGAUCCCUAGCUGGUCUGAGAGGAUGACCAGCCACACUGGAACUGAGCCACGGUCCAGACUCCUACGGGAGGCAGCAGUGGGGAAUAUUGCACAAUGGGCGCAAGCCUGAUGCAGCCAUGCCGCGUGUAUGAAGAAGGCCUUCGGGUUGUAAAGUACUUUCAGCGGGGAGGAAGGGAGUAAAGUUAAUACCUUUGCUCAUUGACGUUACCCGCAGAAGAAGCACCGGCUAACUCCGUG